AACGUAGGAGGCUAGCGUUAUCCGGAUUUAUUGGGCGUAAAGCGCGUGCAGGCGGUUUGAUAAGUUGGAUGUGAAAUCUCCCGGCUUAACUGGGAGGGGUCGUUCAAAACUAUCAGACUAGAGAGUGGGAGAGGGAGGUGGAAUUCCGGGUGUAGUGGUGAAAUGCGUAGAUAUCCGGAGGAACACCAGUGGCGAAAGCGGCCUCCUAGACCAUUUCUGACGCUAAGACGCGAAAGCUAGGGUAGCAAACGGGAUUAGAUACCCCCGUAGUCC
This 273-nucleotide ribosomal RNA is filed under the name uncultured bacterium. RNAcentral's name for it is "partial 16S ribosomal RNA". It matches the Rfam family "Bacterial small subunit ribosomal RNA", at positions 524 to 796 of the family's 1533-position model. The record is from RNAcentral.